GAUGAACGCUGGCGGCGUGCCUAAUACAUGCAAGUCGAGCGAACGGACGAGAAGCUUGCUUCUCUGAUGUUAGCGGCGGACGGGUGAGUAACACGUGGAUAACCUACCUAUAAGACUGGGAUAACUUCGGGAAACCGGAGCUAAUACCGGAUAAUAUUUUGAACCGCAUGGUUCAAAAGUGAAAGACGGUCUUGCUGUCACUUAUAGAUGGAUCCGCGCUGCAUUAGCUAGUUGGUAAGGUAACGGCUUACCAAGGCAACGAUGCAUAGCCGACCUGAGAGGGUGAUCGGCCACACUGGAACUGAGACACGGUCCAGACUCCUACGGGAGGCAGCAGUAGGGAAUCUUCCGCAAUGGGCGAAAGCCUGACGGAGCAACGCCGCGUGAGUGAUGAAGGUCUUCGGAUCGUAAAACUCUGUUAUUAGGGAAGAACAUAUGUGUAAGUAACUGUGCACAUCUUGACGGUACCUAAUCAGAAAGCCACGGCUAACUACGUGCCAGCAGCCGCGGUAAUACGUAGGUGGCAAGCGUUAUCCGGAAUUAUUGGGCGUAAAGCGCGCGUAGGCGGUUUUUUAAGUCUGAUGUGAAAGCCCACGGCUCAACCGUGGAGGGUCAUUGGAAACUGGAAAACUUGAGUGCAGAAGAGGAAAGUGGAAUUCCAUGUGUAGCGGUGAAAUGCGCAGAGAUAUGGAGGAACACCAGUGGCGAAGGCGACUUUCUGGUCUGUAACUGACGCUGAUGUGCGAAAGCGUGGGGAUCAAACAGGAUUAGAUACCCUGGUAGUCCACGCCGUAAACGAUGAGUGCUAAGUGUUAGGGGGUUUCCGCCCCUUAGUGCUGCAGCUAACGCAUUAAGCACUCCGCCUGGGGAGUACGACCGCAAGGUUGAAACUCAAAGGAAUUGACGGGGACCCGCACAAGCGGUGGAGCAUGUGGUUUAAUUCGAAGCAACGCGAAGAACCUUACCAAAUCUUGACAUCCUUUGACAACUCUAGAGAUAGAGCCUUCCCCUUCGGGGGACAAAGUGACAGGUGGUGCAUGGUUGUCGUCAGCUCGUGUCGUGAGAUGUUGGGUUAAGUCCCGCAACGAGCGCAACCCUUAAGCUUAGUUGCCAUCAUUAAGUUGGGCACUCUAAGUUGGCUGCCGGUGACAAACCGGAGGAAGGUGGGGAUGACGUCAAAUCAUCAUGCCCCUUAUGAUUUGGGCUACACACGUGCUACAAUGGACAAUACAAAGGGCAGCGAAACCGCGAGGUCAAGCAAAUCCCAUAAAGUUGUUCUCAGUUCGGAUUGUAGUCUGCAACUCGACUACAUGAAGCUGGAAUCGCUAGUAAUCGUAGAUCAGCAUGCUACGGUGAAUACGUUCCCGGGUCU
RNAcentral lists this ribosomal RNA (1372 nucleotides) under uncultured bacterium. RNAcentral's name for it is "bacterial SSU rRNA". It matches the Rfam family "Bacterial small subunit ribosomal RNA", at positions 28 to 1381 of the family's 1533-position model. The record is from RNAcentral.